Molecule: ribosomal RNA, 497 nt
Filed under: uncultured bacterium
Lineage: Bacteria
Description: partial 16S ribosomal RNA
Rfam family: Bacterial small subunit ribosomal RNA
Source: RNAcentral
GAUGAACGCUGGCGGCGUGCCUAAUACAUGCAAGUCGAGCGAACGGACGAGAAGCUUGCUUCUCUGAUGUUAGCGGCGGACGGGUGAGUAACACGUGGAUAACCUACCUAUAAGACUGGGAUAACUUCGGGAAACCGGAGCUAAUACCGGAUAAUAUUUUGAACCGCAUGGUUCAAAAGUGAAAGACGGUCUUGCUGUCACUUAUAGAUGGAUCCGCGCUGCAUUAGCUAGUUGGUAAGGUAACGGCUUACCAAGGCAACGAUGCAUAGCCGACCUGAGAGGGUGAUCGGCCACACUGGAACUGAGACACGGUCCAGACUCCUACGGGAGGCAGCCGUAGGGAAUCUUCCGCAAUGGGCGACAGCCUGACGGAGCAACGCCGCGUGAGUGAUGAAGGUCUUCGUAUCGUAAAACUCUGUUAUUAGGGAAGAACAUAUGUGUAAGUAACUGUGCACGUCUGGACGGUACCUAAUCAGAAAGCCACGGCUAACUACGUG